UAAUACGGAGGGUGCAAGCGUUACCCGGAAUCACUGGGCGUAAAGGGCGCGUAGGCGGUCCUGUAAGUCUGAUUUAAAAGACCGAAGCUCAACUUCGGGUCUGGGUUGGAUACUGCAGAACUAGACGGCUGGAGGGGAGAGUGGAAUUCUCGGUGUAGCGGUGAAAUGCGGAGAUACCGAGAGGAACACCAGUAGCGAAGGCGGCUCUCUGGACAGUACGUGACGCUGAGGCGCGAAAGUGUGGGGAGCAAACCGG
This 256-nucleotide ribosomal RNA is filed under the name uncultured bacterium. RNAcentral describes it as "partial 16S ribosomal RNA". It matches the Rfam family "Bacterial small subunit ribosomal RNA", at positions 521 to 776 of the family's 1533-position model. The record is from RNAcentral.